AAAUUCCUUAGUUAGUUUUUCAUUAUCUUUAGUUAAGGUAUUAGUCUUUUGAGUUAAAAGUUGGUUGCUUGUCUUAAGUUCUAUAUUUUCUUUGGUGAUUAAAUCCUUAUCCUUAACUAAUUUAUCGUAUUUAUGUAGGUAUGAUUGAUAAGCUAUUUUUAGUUCUUUAUUCUUAAGAUUUAUUGCCUUAUAUUCUAUCAUUAAUUCAUUAAAUGCAUCAUAAAGUUCAUCAAAAGAAAAAUCAAGAUGCGUGUCGGAAGUUACCUCAUUUUCAUUGGCCAUGAAGCAGAAAUUGGCCUUCUCUUCUUGUUCAUCAUCCGAUGAAGAGGAUGAUGAAUCGGAGUCGGAUAGUGUUGUGACAAGAGCCUUCUUCUUCUUGUACUUGCUCCCCUUUUUCAGUAAAGGGCACUC
RNAcentral lists this long non-coding RNA (411 nucleotides) under Phoenix dactylifera (date palm). RNAcentral's name for it is "long non-coding RNA (PDAC_LNC022636)". Lineage: Eukaryota; Viridiplantae; Streptophyta; Magnoliopsida; Arecales; Arecaceae. The record is from RNAcentral.